This 502-nucleotide ribosomal RNA is filed under the name uncultured bacterium. RNAcentral's name for it is "partial 16S ribosomal RNA". It matches the Rfam family "Bacterial small subunit ribosomal RNA", at positions 28 to 523 of the family's 1533-position model. The record is from RNAcentral.
GAUGAACGCUAGCGGCAGGCCUAACACAUGCAAGUCGAGGGGUAGCAGGAUUAAGCUUGCUUAAUUGCUGACGACCGGCGCACGGGUGCGUAACGCGUAUGCAACCUACCUUAUACUGGGGUAUAGCCCGGAGAAAUUCGGAUUAAUCCCCCAUAGUACUAAUGAAUCGCAUGGUUUAUUAGUUAAAUCAUUGCGGUAUAAGAUGGGCAUGCGUCCUAUUAGCUAGAUGUGAGGUAACGGCUCACCAUGGCUACGAUAGGUAGGGGGCCUGAGAGGGUGGCCCCCCACACUGGUACUGAGACACGGACCAGACUCCUACGGGAGGCAGCAGUGAGGAAUAUUGGUCAAUGGGCGCAAGCCUGAACCAGCCAUGCCGCGUGCAGGAAGAAUGCCCUAUGGGUUGUAAACUGCUUUUAUUUGGGAAUAAACCUCUUUACGUGUAGAGAGCUGAAGGUACCAAAUGAAUAAGCACCGGCUAACUCCGUGCCAGCCGCCGCGGUAA